GUGGGCCGGGCCGCCAGUGUCAUCAUUGUUUGACUGCUCCAUGGAGACGAUGCUC
This 55-nucleotide small RNA is filed under the name Pongo abelii (Sumatran orangutan). RNAcentral describes it as "processed transcript". Lineage: Eukaryota; Metazoa; Chordata; Mammalia; Primates; Hominidae. The record is from RNAcentral.